UACUCUUGUGACCUGUUCCUCUCUGGGGGUCACCCUGCCAGGCUUCCUGGGAGAAGGGUGGGACAAGGGAAGCUGCCACUUUGUCUUUUGGUCUCAAGACAGCCCCAGCUUCAACAGGGCACAGCAGCAGCUGCUGGAACUUGUCCCCGCAGUGCGGGUAGUGGCACAGGGUGUAAUCGAGCAAGGCGGCAUUGGCCUUCUCUUGAGCAUCCUUCACCAGGCUGUGGUUGUUCAGGAACUUCACAUCUGCAAGGGGAGGAGCUCUGUCACGAUCACCAGCCCAUCACAUCAUCAACGGUCACUGGCAACAUGAGCGCCAACAUCCCCAUCAGCACCAAAGACGGGGCACUGCCGUCAACGAUGCAGUCUUCCAAUCGCCACGGCUGAGGAACACCGCCACUUUCAUCAAUCACCGAUAUUGACGGCCCCGGCUUUCUCCCAAACUCGGCCACUGCCACCAUCACCCACCCAACCACCAUCACCUGUCACCAUCAUUACUGCCACUGUCAUCAUCACAUUGGUCAUGAUGAACGCCCUCAUCGUCUCCAAAACCACACCAACAUCACCAGCUGUAUCCCUGGGCGUGUUAUUCGACUUCUCAAUUUCCUACAGAACGGUGACAACAGCACCUAGUUCACAAGACUGUUGGGAGAAUUUGGGGACUUGACAGGUGGAAAAUGCUUGGAGGACAGCGUCCGGCACGUAACAAGACCAAUUUGUUACCAUUGCUAUCUCUACUCUCACCCCACCAUGAUCAACACCAUCCCCAUCGCCGGGUCAAAACCUUCCCGUCGCCAUCAUCCCCAUCGUGGCCACCAUCAGCAACAUCACCAGACAGGCACACUGUAAUUGCAAGGGUCCCAUCUCCCAGCCUCCAGGCACAUGCACUGGUGGCCCUAUUCUAGACAGCGACAGGCACUCCUGUGACCAAUCAAGAAGCUCCAGAACCCCAAGGAGAUUCUCUCCUGGGGCCCCUGGGGGGACAUGGAUGUUCACUGCAGCAGCAUUUAUGGAGGUGGCCUGGAUGGCUGUGUGGUGGCCGCACCACAGGGAGUCCUGUGCAGUAGAAGUAAUGGAGCAGACAGAAAAAAUGGACAGAUCUUUAAAAGCAUAGGGCUAAGUGGAAAAAAAAACAGAGAAGGAAGAUCCAGAAUGAGAUCUACAAGACAGAGCCAUCUACAUAAAUUAAAAGUACUUGUACAGAG
Panthera uncia (snow leopard) is the source of this 1205-nucleotide long non-coding RNA. RefSeq lists it as uncharacterized. NCBI's taxonomy places the organism in Eukaryota, Metazoa, Chordata, Mammalia, Carnivora, Felidae. The record is from RefSeq and is a predicted model, not a curated record. The transcript is spliced from 2 exons.